Molecule: ribosomal RNA, 435 nt
Filed under: uncultured bacterium
Lineage: Bacteria
Description: partial 16S ribosomal RNA
Rfam family: Bacterial small subunit ribosomal RNA
Source: RNAcentral
AGCGAGCGCUGGCGGCAGGCUUAACACAUGCAAGUCGAGCGGGCAUCUUCGGAUGUCAGCGGCAGACGGGUGAGUAACACGUGGGAACGUACCCUUCGGUUCGGAACAACUCUGGGAAACUGGAGCUAAUACCGGAUACGCCCUUAUGGGGAAAGGUUUACUGCCGAAGGAUCGGCCCGCGUCUGAUUAGCUAGUUGGUGGGGUAACGGCCUACCAAGGCGACGAUCAGUAGCUAGUCUGAGAGGAUGAUCAGCCACACUGGGACUGAGACACGGCCCAGACUCCUACGGGAGGCAGCAGUGGGGAAUAUUGGACAAUGGGCGCAAGCCUGAUCCAGCCAUGCCGCGUGAGUGAUGAAGGCCUUAGGGUUGUAAAGCUCUUUUGUCCGGGACGAUAAUGACGGUACCGGAAGAAUAAGCCCCGGCUAACUUCGUG